AUGGCCGAGGAACAAUCUGGCCCGCCGGCAGCGGACGGGGUGGUGGUGGCGAUGAAGGGCCACCCGGGGUCAGGCAAGUCCACGGUGGCUCGUGCCAUCGCCUCCUCGCUCCGAUGCCCGCUCCUUGACAAGGACGACGUGCGGGACUGCACCCUGCACCUCGAGCGCGCCGCCGCCGGCAGCGGCAUCCUCAACGACCUCUCCUACGCCGUGCUCUGGAGGUUGGCCGAGAGGCAGCUCCGGCUUGGCCUGUCCAUCGUCGUCGACUCCCCACUGUCGCGCCGAGCCCAUCUCGAUGCUCUGGCCCGCUUGCCUGCUGCACUUGUUAUCAUUGUGGAAUGCCGGCCAGGCAACCAAGAUGAAUGGCGCCGCAGGCUGGAGGAGCGUGGAGGCGUCUUGGCCGAUGAUGGAUGGCAUAAGCCCAAGACGUGGGCCGACCUAGAAAGGCUUGUGGAAGGGUACCAAGGAUGCACAAACUAUGACACUGGGGAUUUGCCGAGGAUCCUUGUGGAUACAACGGACCCGACGGUCAGCACCGAGGCAAUCGCUGUGAGGGUUGUGGAUUUUAUUAGGUCUCUUCUAGCCCGUGCGCAUUAG
Molecule: ribosomal RNA, 597 nt
Filed under: Triticum aestivum (bread wheat)
Lineage: Eukaryota; Viridiplantae; Streptophyta; Magnoliopsida; Poales; Poaceae
Description: partial small subunit ribosomal RNA
Source: RNAcentral